GGUAAUUAAACUAACACUAUUAAAUACCUUAGACAACAUUCAAACAUCAAACAUUGCUACAAANAAAUUAACAAACACAGUUAAAAAUAAUUAAAUUCAACACUAGUUCAAACACAUUAAACUCAACCUAUUAACUCGAUUAAUUAAAAACCAAAGAAACCAACAAGCCUAACUUAAUCCUAGCAAUUAACUUGACUAAAUGACAAUUAACAAUUAAUUUUAAAAGUCCAAUUGGCCAAAAAGAACCUCAUGGCCGUGCA
RNAcentral lists this long non-coding RNA (260 nucleotides) under Vigna radiata. RNAcentral describes it as "long non-coding RNA (VRAD_LNC017107)". The record is from RNAcentral. Lineage: Eukaryota; Viridiplantae; Streptophyta; Magnoliopsida; Fabales; Fabaceae.